Molecule: ribosomal RNA, 729 nt
Filed under: uncultured bacterium
Lineage: Bacteria
Description: bacterial SSU rRNA
Rfam family: Bacterial small subunit ribosomal RNA
Source: RNAcentral
AACAGGAUUAGAUACCCUGGUAGUCCACGCCGUAAACGAUGAGUGCUAGGUGUUGGGGGUUUCCGCCCUCUGUGCCGAAGGUAACCCAAUAAGCACUCCGCCUGGGGAGUACGGCCGCAAGGCUGAAACUCAAAGGAAUUGACGGGGGCCCGCACAAGCGGUGGAGCAUGUGGUUUAAUUCGAAGCAACGCGAAGAACCUUACCAGGGCUUGACAUCCCGCUGACCGGUGUAGAGAUACACCUUCCCUUCGGGGCAGCGGUGACAGGUGGUGCAUGGUUGUCGUCAGCUCGUGUCGUGAGAUGUUGGGUUCAGUCCCGCAACGAGCGCAACCCUUGUCGUCAGUUGCCAGCACAUGAUGGUGGGUACUCUGGCGAGACAGCCGGUGAAAGCCGGAGGAAGGUGGGGAUGACGUCAAAUCAUCAUGCCCCUUAUGUCCUGGGCUACACACGUGCUACAAUGGCCGGUACAACGGGCAGCGAACCCGUGAGGGGGAGCCAAUCCCAAAAAACCGGUCUCAGUUCGGAUCGCAGGCUGCAACUCGCCUGCGUGAAGCUGGAAUCGCUAGUAAUCGCGGAUCAGCAUGCCGCGGUGAAUCCGUUCCCGGGCCUUGUACACACCGCCCGUCACACCACGAGAGUCUGCAACACCCGAAGUCGGUGAGGUAACCUUCGGGAAUCAGCCGCCGAAGGUGGGGCAGAUGAUUGGGGUGAAGUCGUAACAAGGUAACC